This is a long non-coding RNA of Camponotus floridanus (Florida carpenter ant), 708 nucleotides long. RefSeq lists it as uncharacterized. The transcript is spliced from 3 exons. The record is from RefSeq and is a predicted model, not a curated record. NCBI's taxonomy places the organism in Eukaryota, Metazoa, Arthropoda, Insecta, Hymenoptera, Formicidae.
UCAAAUACAGUCUCUGAUACAAAACGAAUAUUAUGGCGUGCUAUGUAUGGCCGUAUUAUACAAAAUACGAUACAGUUGCAAUGUGCAAUUUUUGUGAGAAAAAUUAUUCUCUUAAGCCAAUCUAUUCCAAUAUAAGAACACACAUAUCCAGGAGACAUAGAGGUGUAAGUCAAGACGCCUAUAAAGUAAUACAAGGCAAUAAACUACAAUGUGAGAAAUGUAAGAAAAUAUAUAAUAAACGUUACAAAAUUACAUCCUACAUAAAAUUACAUUUACAUACUAAACAUGGAAUUGAUCAAAAUAAAGAGGAAGAACAUAAAAACUGGAUAAUAGAAUAUAGUAGAAAUAAUGAGAAUAUUAUUAAACUAAACCUUGAUAAAACAAUAACGUGCCGACGUUGCAGAAAAGUUUUUCCAAGGAAUUAUGUCGAUUUAAUGAGACAUUUGUACACUGAUCAUCAAGUCGAGGAAAUACCUGAGGAAUUCAAAUAAACGUGGCAAAGUGCUACAGACAUUCCUAAAAGCAGCUACAAACAACUAAUACGCAAUUUUUAACAAUUUGGCAAUGUAAAUGACUGUAUAUCACUAUAUCUUGGAGAUUCUGUGUUAAACAGCUCUCAGUCAACGGAUUUUGAUAACAUUGUUGAAUACGAUGACCCUUCCGAUCUCGAAGAUAUAUGUAGAGAUAUAUAUUGAAGAUAUAUAUUGA